This 565-nucleotide ribosomal RNA is filed under the name uncultured Glomeromycotina. Its description in RNAcentral is "SSU rRNA". It matches the Rfam family "Eukaryotic small subunit ribosomal RNA", at positions 548 to 1114 of the family's 1831-position model. The record is from RNAcentral. Lineage: Eukaryota; Fungi; Glomeromycota.
UUGGACGGCAAGUCUGGUGCCAGCAGCCGCGGUAAUUCCAGCUCCAAUAGCGUAUAUUAAAGUUGUUGCAGUUAAAAAGCUCGUAGUUGAAUUUCGGGGUUAGUAGAUUGGUCAUGCCACUGGUAUGUACUUGUCUUACUGAUUCCUCCUUCCUGAUGAACCGUAAUGCCAUUAACUUGGUGUCGCGGGGAGACUGGACUGUUACUUUGAAAAAAUUAGAGUGUUUAAAGCAGGCUAACGCUUGAAUACAUUAGCAUGGAAUAAUGAAAUAGGACGUUCGAUCCUAUUUUGUUGGUUUCUAGGAUUGACGUAAUGAUUAAUAGGGAUAGUUGGGGGCAUUAGUAUUCAAUUGUCAGAGGUGAAAUUCUUGGAUUUAUUGAAGACUAACUACUGCGAAAGCAUUUGCCAAGGAUGUUUUCAUUAAUCAAGAACGAAAGUUAGGGGAUCGAAGACGAUCAGAUACCGUCGUAGUCUUAACCAUAAACUAUGCCGACUAGGGAUCGGGUGAUGUUAAUUUUUUAAUGACUCAUUCGGCGCCUUACGGGAAACCAAAGUGUUUGGGUUC